This 124-nucleotide ribosomal RNA is filed under the name Paramormyrops kingsleyae. Lineage: Eukaryota; Metazoa; Chordata; Actinopteri; Osteoglossiformes; Mormyridae. The record is from RNAcentral.
UCCAGCAUUUACUCUGUUCCACCCAUGCAUCUCAGACUAGGCAAUCCAUCUGAAGCUAAGCAAGUUUGGGCCUGACCAGUACUUAGAUGGGAGACCAAAUAGGAAAGCUGGGUUGCUGCUGGAA